CGUAGGUAACCUGCCUUGUAGCGGGGGAUAACUAUUGGAAACGAUAGCUAAUACCGCAUAACAAUGGGUGACACAUGUCAUUUAUUUGAAAGGGGCAAUUGCUACACUACAAGAUGGACCUGCGUUGUAUCAGCUAGUAGGUGAGGUAACGGCUCACCUAGGCGACGAUACAUAGCCGACAUGAGAGGGUGAUCGGCCACACUGGGACUGAGACACGGCCCAG
Molecule: ribosomal RNA, 223 nt
Filed under: uncultured Streptococcaceae bacterium
Lineage: Bacteria; Bacillati; Bacillota; Bacilli; Lactobacillales; Streptococcaceae
Description: partial 16S ribosomal RNA
Rfam family: Bacterial small subunit ribosomal RNA
Source: RNAcentral